Molecule: ribosomal RNA, 465 nt
Filed under: uncultured bacterium
Lineage: Bacteria
Description: partial 16S ribosomal RNA
Rfam family: Bacterial small subunit ribosomal RNA
Source: RNAcentral
GACGAACGCUGGCGGCGUGCUUAACACAUGCAAGUCGAACGGAAAGGCCCUGCUUGCAGGGUACUCGAGUGGCGAACGGGUGAGUAACACGUGGGUGAUCUGCCCUGCACUUCGGGAUAAGCCUGGGAAACUGGGUCUAAUACCGGAUAGGAGCCAUUUUUAGUGUGAUGGUUGGAAAGUUUUUUCGGUGUAGGAUGAGCUCGCGGCCUAUCAGCUUGUUGGUGGGGUAAUGGCCUACCAAGGCGGCGACGGGGAGCCGGCCUGAGAGGGUGGACGGCCACAUUGGGACUGAGAUACGGCCCAGACUCCUACGGGGGGCAGCAGUGGGGAAUAUUGCACAAUGGGCGCAAGCCUGAUGCAGCGACGCCGCGUGGGGGAUGACGGCCUUCGGGUUGUAAACUCCUUUCGCUAGGGACGAAGCUUUUUGUGACGGUACCUAGAUAAGAAGCACCGGCUAACUACGUG